AAGAGGUUGAGAAUCCGGGAUAUUGGGCGUAAGAGCUCGUAGGCGGUUUGUCGCGUCUGUCGUGAAAGUCCGGGGCUUAACCCCGGAUCUGCGGUGGGUACGGGCAGACUAGAGUGCAGUAGGGGAGACUGGAAUUCCUGGUGUAGCGGUGGAAUGCGCAGAUAUCAGGAGGAACACCGAUGGCGAAGGCAGGUCUCUGGGCUGUAACUGACGCUGAGGAGCGAAAGCAUGGGGAGCGAACAGGAUUAGAUACCCUGGUAGUCCAUGCCGUAAACGUUGGGCACUAGGUGUGGGGACCAUUCCACGGUUUCCGCGCCGCAGCUAACGCAUUAAGUGCCCCGCCUGGGGAGUACGGCCGCAAGGCUAAAACUCAAAGGAAUUGACGGGGGCCCGCACAAGCGGCGGAGCAUGCGGAUUAAUUCGAUGCAACGCGAAGAACCUUACCAAGGCUUGACAUGUUCUCGAUCGCCGUAGAGAUACGGUUUCCCCUUUGGGGUGGGUUCACAGGUGGUGCAUGGUUGUCGUCAGCUCGUGUCGUGAGAUGUUGGGUUAAGUCCCGCAACGAGCGCAACCCUCGUUCCAUGUUGCCAGCACGUCAUGGUGGGGACUCAUGGGAGACUGCCGGGGUCAACUCGGAGGAAGGUGAGGACGACGUCAAAUCAUCAUGCCCCUUAUGUCUUGGGCUUCACGCAUGCUACAAUGGCCGGUACAAUGGGUUGCGAUACUGUGAGGUGGAGCUAAUCCCCAAAAAAGCCCGGUC
Molecule: ribosomal RNA, 760 nt
Filed under: uncultured bacterium
Lineage: Bacteria
Description: bacterial SSU rRNA
Rfam family: Bacterial small subunit ribosomal RNA
Source: RNAcentral